RNAcentral lists this non-coding RNA (84 nucleotides) under Heyndrickxia shackletonii. RNAcentral describes it as "Bacillus shackletonii c-di-GMP-II sequence". It matches the Rfam family "Cyclic di-GMP-II riboswitch aptamer". The record is from Rfam by way of RNAcentral. Lineage: Bacteria; Bacillati; Bacillota; Bacilli; Caryophanales; Bacillaceae.
AUAGAAAUUGGAAGCGAAGAAGAGUCAUUUGUAUAUGGGCACUUGAAUGGCUCGGAGCUUGUAGUGCAACCCGCCAAUUUUAUG